RNAcentral lists this ribosomal RNA (148 nucleotides) under uncultured archaeon. RNAcentral describes it as "partial 16S ribosomal RNA". It matches the Rfam family "Archaeal small subunit ribosomal RNA", at positions 322 to 474 of the family's 1478-position model. The record is from RNAcentral.
CCUACGGGGCGCACCAGGCGCGCAAACUUUACAAUGCGAGCAAUCGUGAUAAGGAAACCCUGAGUGCCCGUCGAUGCAGGCUGUUCAUAUAUCUAAAUCAUAUGUGAAGAAAGGGCAGGGCAAGACCGGUGCCAGCCGCCGCGGUAAA